GGCACCGGGGCGGAGGUUCCCGCAAAAGCCAUGCCCGCCCAGCCCCCGGAUUUCGGGCCCAGUUGUGUGGAAGAGAAGCAGAAACCUGCGCCAGGGCCUGGGGCCUCGACCUUCGAAGACCCCCAGGCCCCCCUUCCCCCCCCCCCCCCCCCAAGGUACUGUGCUAAACUGUUGACACAGAAAACUGCUGAACCCUUACCCCAGCCUUGCAAGAUUUAUCUUCAUUGAUAGAGGCAGAAGCAGAAGCCUAAGUUCGAGCCUAAGUUCAAGUUAGUGUUGCUUCUGCUCUAUGAAGACUUCUGGUCCGUCCCAAACAGGCAGGACGGAAGAGGGAGAAUGUGUUCUUGGAGAAGGAGAUGACCGGACAAGGAGGGCUGCAGGAGAGAUCUGGGGGCCAAGAGAGGCUGCAGCAUGGAGGGAGCAAAGUUGGUGUCCUUGAAUUUCAAAGGCAUGUAAAUAUCAGCAUCCCAACUGGAGCGCAGCGGUUUUUCUCCUGCUUGUUGCCGAAAGGAAGCCAAGAGGCAGGGGAGUUGGUUCCAGCCCUUAGCUGGGCUUUCUGAACCUACGGAUUACAUGAGCGCAAACCCAGGUAGAUCACCACUGGACCUUCGAAAUGAGGGAAAAAUUGAAACAGAAGACAAAAACAGCGAUGCGAGUCCCUCGUGAAAUUAACCAGGAUCCACACAUCAUGAAUAUAGAUGACCAUUGGGCGUCAUCUGCUACACAAACUACAGGGUCGUGGUCACUCCAUCCUAGACGACUGCUUUCUGAAGGCAUUUUCAACUCGCUAAUAAUGCUCAUUCUCCAUCAGCGUGCUCCGUCUGUCUGGGGGAAGGAUUUUGUUGACUGCAAUUUGAAACUUCCGUCGAAUUUAAGGGGUAGUGGCAACUCAGACAGCAGCUUAUACACCUGUGUUCCUGCGAUGCUCUUUCCGUCACAGCCCUGGGCAGCUUUUUGGACCUUUUGGCUGCCAUCCUUUUCCAGCCGAGAAGCUUUUCUUCUGUUUUAUGCUACCACCACCUGCUGUCCUGUUCCUACCACACAGAAACUCGUCUCCCCUUUUCCCAAAGGAACGAAUCUGACUGCAAGGCCACGAUAGGAAUAUCUUUCAGGGAGAUUAAGCAAUGACACAACUUUUCGAGGCUUAAUUUUAAAAGCACAGACUUUUAAAAUGAACGUGUUAUUUUAAAUGCCUGUAAAGAAAGUACUUUUCUUUUAGUCAUGUGAUGAUAAAGGGCUGAAUAUGAUUUUCACCAUGGCAAGAGGAAACGAUCGGAUGGGUGAUCCUUUUCAUUUAUUUUUAUUUAACAAACAUUUAAAUCGUGUUUAGUAUAUGUCGGGCACUAUUUUAAGUUCUCUAUCAGGAUAAGUCUUGUAAUCCUUAUAACAACCCUGUGAAGUAGGUUCUAUUAUUAUUCCCAUUUUGGAGAUGAGAGACCCAAGGCACAAAGAGGUCAAAUAACAUGCUCAGGGUUGCUGUAGUGGGUUACAUUCGUGUUUAAAAUAUUAGAUGCUCCUCCCUGUUGGCAUCAGUCUCAGCUAUGUUACUUGCAGUGCUUUCCUUUCUCCAUGUACAUUCGGCCUGACCGGGUGACUGGCAUUGUCCUAUGACAUCUGAACAGAGCAAAAGGUUCCGAGCAAAAGCCUUUUUUUAAAAAAAAGUCAGCUCAGAGUCCACCAUGUUCUUCCCUUCUUUAUCCAGGAAAGCAGUAGUGUUUGAGAGAGGGGAUGUUCUUUCAUAUUGGAUUUGAGCAUAAAGACAGAUGGAGCGGAACUGGAGCUGACCCCAAUAGCACACAUAACAUGACAAAGAACUAAACCUUUGUGAUGUAAGCCACCCGAAUCCUGGAGUUAUUUGUUCAUGCGUUUGUCGUCUUUGGCAGUGUAACAUACAACUACCAGGUCACAUGGGCAUUUAGCAAUAAAC
RNAcentral lists this long non-coding RNA (1927 nucleotides) under Sus scrofa (pig). Its description in RNAcentral is "lncRNA (ENSSSCG00050056532.1)". Lineage: Eukaryota; Metazoa; Chordata; Mammalia; Artiodactyla; Suidae. The record is from RNAcentral.